GAUGAACGCUGGCGGCGUGCCUAAUACGUGCAAGUCGAGCGAACAGAUGAGGAGCUUGCUCCUCUGACGUUAGCGGCGGACGGGUGAGUAACACGUGGAUAACCUACCUAUAAGACUGGGAUAACUUCGGGAAACCGGAGCUAAUACCGGAUAAUAUAUUGAACCGCAUGGUUCAAUAGUGAAAGACGGUUUUGCUGUCACUUAUAGAUGGAUCCGCGCCGCAUUAGCUAGUUGGUAAGGUAACGGCUUACCAAGGCAACGAUGCGUAGCCGACCUGAGAGGGUGAUCGGCCACACUGGAACUGAGACACGGUCCAGACUCCUACGGGAGGCAGCAGUAGGGAAUCUUCCGCAAUGGGCGAAAGCCUGACGGAGCAACGCCGCGUGAGUGAUGAAGGUCUUCGGAUCGUAAAACUCUGUUAUUAGGGAAGAACAAAUGUGUAAGUAACUAUGCACGUCUUGACGGUACCUAAUCAAAAAGCCACGGCUAACUACGUG
Molecule: ribosomal RNA, 497 nt
Filed under: uncultured bacterium
Lineage: Bacteria
Description: partial 16S ribosomal RNA
Rfam family: Bacterial small subunit ribosomal RNA
Source: RNAcentral